GACGAACGCUGGCGGCGUGCUUAACACAUGCAAGUCGAACGGAAAGGCCCUGCUUUUGUGGGGUGCUCGAGUGGCGAACGGGUGAGUAACACGUGAGUAACCUGCCCUUGACUUUGGGAUAACUUCAGGAAACUGGGGCUAAUACCGGAUAGGAGCUCCUGCUGCAUGGUGGGGGUUGGAAAGUUUCGGCGGUUGGGGAUGGACUCGCGGCUUAUCAGCUUGUUGGUGGGGUAGUGGCGUACCAAGGCUUUGACGGGUAGCCGGCCUGAGAGGGUGACCGGCCACAUUGGGACUGAGAUACGGCCCAGACUCCUACGGUAGGCAGCAGUGGGGAAUAUUGCACAAUGGGCGGAAGCCUGAUGCAGCAACGCCGCGUGCGGGAUGACGGCCUUCGGGUUGUAAACCGCUUUCGCCUGUGACGAAGCGUGAGUGACGGUAAUGGGUAAAGAAGCACCGGCUAACUACGUG
Molecule: ribosomal RNA, 468 nt
Filed under: uncultured bacterium
Lineage: Bacteria
Description: partial 16S ribosomal RNA
Rfam family: Bacterial small subunit ribosomal RNA
Source: RNAcentral